RNAcentral lists this long non-coding RNA (303 nucleotides) under Homo sapiens (human). RNAcentral's name for it is "HSALNT0351909". Lineage: Eukaryota; Metazoa; Chordata; Mammalia; Primates; Hominidae. The record is from RNAcentral.
CCGAGAGCAGCUCUCCGACCUCCGAUUGGACUCUUGAGGGAACCGAGACCCAGUCGGGGCGACAACUUGCCCGAGGUCGCUAUGGCAGAGUCAGGAUUGGAUAACCGUACGGUCUCCGGAUCCAAGGCUGGCUCCAGAUAAGAUGGGGUCUCACUAUGAGAAGGAAACACUUAUAAUGUUAAAUGAACAAAGCAGGAUUUGCAAACAAAAGAGAUAAGCGAACUCCAUGCUGCUUUUCAGGGACAACUUUGCUGCAAGCUCUCAGAAGGCUCGCUGUACACCUGGCCUGUGCUGGACACUGGG